GAUGAACGCUGGCGGCGUGCUUAACACAUGCAAGUCGAACGAGAAGUGGAGACGGAAACCUUCGGGCGGAAGACUUUACUUCGAGUGGCGGACGGGUGAGUAACGCGUGGGUAACCUGCCUCAUACAGGGGGAUAACAGUUGGAAACGACUGUUAAUACCGCAUAAGACCACAGCACCGCAUGGUGCGGGGGUAAAAACUCCGGUGGUAUGAGAUGGACCCGCGUUCGAUUAGCCAGUUGGCGGGGUAACGGCCCACCAAAGCGACGAUCGAUAGCCGAUCUGAGAGGAUGACCGGCCACAUUGGGACUGAGACACGGCCCAAACUCCUACGGGAGGCAGCGGUGGGGAAUAUUGCACAAUGGGGGAAACCCUGAUGCAGCGACGCCGCGUGAGUGAAGAAGUAUUUCGGUAUGUAAAGCUCUAUCAGCAGGGAAGAAAAUGACAGUACCUGAGGAAGAAGCCCCGGCUAACUACGUG
RNAcentral lists this ribosomal RNA (478 nucleotides) under uncultured bacterium. RNAcentral describes it as "partial 16S ribosomal RNA". It matches the Rfam family "Bacterial small subunit ribosomal RNA", at positions 28 to 507 of the family's 1533-position model. The record is from RNAcentral.